This is a non-coding RNA of Streptomyces ambofaciens ATCC 23877, 75 nucleotides long. The record is from Rfam. Lineage: Bacteria; Bacillati; Actinomycetota; Actinomycetes; Kitasatosporales; Streptomycetaceae.
CUUGACCGAGCCCAGCCAGAGCGGGCGGUCCUCGUCCCGGCCCUGUCCGUACGUCGCCAACAGGGCCUGUGCCUC